GAUGGAGAAGGAAGAGAUGAGCAGACACCUGAUUGCCCAAGUGGCUUCACUCCAAGGGGCUCCUCCUGCUUCACCCUCUCUGAUGAUUCAUGGAGAUGUCUGCUAUGUCCAGCACUAAACAUCCUGGUAACUUUUUCCUUGGAAGCACAAGUGGGGCAGGCAGGCAGGUGGAAGCCCCAGAAGGGAUGGAGUGAUCAGCUCCAGCUCCACCCUUUUCAUGCAGGGAAAUUGUAAAGGCUGAGAACGUUUCUGUCUGAGUGGAUUGAGCAGGACUUUGAACUGGAUGCUCCGUGGAAAAAGGGACUAAGACAUUUUUAGCCCUUGCUGGAAGUGUUCAAAGCCAGGUUGGAGGGGCUUGCAGGCAGUCCCUGUCCCUGGCAGGGGGUUGGAAUGAGAUGGUUUUUAAUAUUCAUUCCCACCCAAACCAUUCAAUGAUUUUAUGAUUUAAGACUUUGUAGGCAACCAAGUUAUGCAUUUCCUGUCCCCAUGAAUAUCCAACCUGGUUUACCCUGACUGUAGAUUUUGGGAAUUCUCCAGGUCUUACCCUGGAAAUGGACUUGGCAUAAUCCACCCAGACAAUUCCAUUUAUUUAUGCCACUUGUUCCCAUUUUCCUUGGAGAAAACGAAAUAACCUGCCCACAGAUGCGAUGAUCAAAACAAAACCCCCACCCCGACAUCAGCAGCACUGCUGGCCUGACCAGAGAUGAAUUAAAGGAUUAAUCCCAAUAAAUGGUGUGAAUUCCCAGAGUGCUUUCACUGCUCCCUGGAAUCACCAGCCCAGCCUGAAGGCGAUGCUGAGGUGAGAAAACAACCCACGUGCAUUCCUGGCCUCUCAUCUAACCCAUGAUCCCUGCCCACUCUUUCCAAAUCGUUGGCUUCCUCAUCACUCUGUCCAAAGGCAGGGGAGAUUUAUAUCCUGUCCCCAGGUGAGGGUGUUUUUCCUGGGCUGUGGAGACGACCAGGAGAAGAUGAAGUUCUCCCUCCUUGCGGUGCUGGCUUUGGUCCUGUUUGCAGCUCAAGCAAAUGCCCUGUACUGCUACACCUGCAACUGGGAGCAGAGCAACUGGAGGUGCCUGAAGGCUGAGAAGUGCUCGGACAAGGACGAGUACUGCGUCACCAACGUGGCCUCCGUGGGGAUCGGUGGGUGCUGGCCCUGGGCCCCCUCCUGGGGCUCAGGAAUGGGAUCUGGGCUCUCACAUGUGGGGCUCCAGGUGGCUUUAAAAUGCUGUUUAUUGUAUGCAAAUGGUACAGCCAUUCAAGGGGUGUGGGUGACACGAGCUCUGAAGCCAACUCUAGUUCAGGUCAUAAUGCAUUACAUACUUUUUAUUGCAGAGCAUCCUAAAACAGGACACCCAAUCAAUACUUUUACUUAUAGCCUAUCAUAACUAUAAAUAUUACCACAUUCUUUUCCAAUCAUAAAAGGUUAGUUUGUUGCAGUUUAAGCUAAAAGUUGUUUUUCAGUUUUGCUUGCAGUAGAAAAUGUUUAGAUCUUUUCUCUACUUGCAACAUGGCAUUUUUGUAUGCCUGUGAAAAUCUUUUGGCUUGGUAAAAACAUCUUUUGUUUGAGGUGAAUUUAUCCUUUGCUCAGAGUCAUAAAAGCCCCUUCCAACUCACUUGCUCUUUGCCUUCAAGUUAUCCAGUAAGACUGGUUCAGUAAUUCUUCUAUAUCAAAACUUGCUAUCAUUUCUAUUCCUUCUUCAGAGUCUACAUUCAAAGAUCUUUCUGUCAAAUUCUUAUCCUUCCCAACACUGAGGAGUCCUUGGGAAGCACAAGUGGGAGGUGAAACCCUUCCUAACCCAGCCUGGAAGGUUUGGGUUUGGAAUUCUCCUCCCCAUUGUAAAUUGAGAAUUUCCUGUUGUUUUAUUCCUGCAUGGAAAAUCAGGGCACAUUGAGAGAAGGGAGAAUAAAUAAAUUUGAACUUUGAUUCCUGGGAGCAGAGCCCAAACCCAGCCUGGUUGCACCCUCAGGGAGUUGUGCAAAGCCAGGUCCCCCCUGAGCCUCCUUUUCUCCAGGCUGAGCCCCUUUCCCAGCUCCUCAGCCUCUCCUGGUGCUCCAGACCCAUCCCCAGCUCCAUUCCCUUCUCUGGAUGUGCUCCAGCUCCUCAAUUUCUUUGUUGCCAUGAUGGUCCCAAAACUGAUCCCAAGAUUUGAGGUGUGGCCUCACCAGUGACAAAAAAAAGGGAAAAAAAAAUUACUUCUCUGGUCCUGCUGGUCACACUAUUUCUGAUCCAAGCCUGAUAUGGAGGAAACAGGAUUAUUUCCCUCAAAUGGAGAAGCCUGGAAAUGUGAUUGAAAUCCAGGAAUGAACAUUGUCGUUGUACACAUAAAAAAGUCUUGAGAAUCCUUGCUGGGAAGUGCUGGAUGCCCAGCAUGGAUAUGGAAUUCCUUGUGUAGAGGUCACCAACAAUUCCUGGGCUGUGGUAAAAGGAUGGAUGGGACCAGGGUGGGGCCAUGGGGGGACCAGGAUGGGUCUCAUGGGGAUCUCUGGGGACCAGGAUGGGUCUCAUGGGG
RNAcentral lists this long non-coding RNA (2510 nucleotides) under Catharus ustulatus (Swainson's thrush). RNAcentral's name for it is "lncRNA (ENSCUSG00005004258.1)". The record is from RNAcentral. Lineage: Eukaryota; Metazoa; Chordata; Aves; Passeriformes; Turdidae.